RNAcentral lists this ribosomal RNA (1997 nucleotides) under Gemmatimonadota bacterium. Its description in RNAcentral is "Gemmatimonadetes bacterium partial 23S ribosomal RNA". It matches the Rfam family "Bacterial large subunit ribosomal RNA", at positions 1 to 1963 of the family's 2925-position model. The record is from RNAcentral. Lineage: Bacteria; Pseudomonadati; Gemmatimonadota.
UGGUCAAGCGAGAAAGUGCGCACGGCGGAUGCCUAGGCACAGACCGGCGAAGAAGGACGUGGCAAGCUGCGAAAAGCCUCGGGGAGUUGCAAGCAAGCUUAGAUCCGGGGGUGUCCGAAUGGGGAAACCCGGCGGGAGCAGUCCCGUCACCCUGCCACAGGGAGCCAACCCAGGGAACUGAAACAUCUAAGUACCUGGAGGAAAAGAAAUCAAUCGAGAUUCCCAGAGUAGCGGCGAGCGAAAAGGGAACAGCCCAAACCCGGGUGAGGAGACUCAACCGGGGGUUGUGGGGCCGCAUCGCGAGGCGAACCGAAGCAUAGCGGAACGGUACUGGAACGUACGACCGCAGAGGGUGAGAGUCCCGUACGCGAAAUGCGAGUAGGUGAGCUGAUGCGGACCCCGAGUAGGCCGGGACACGUGGAACCCUGGCUGAAUCCGGGAGGACCAUCUUCCAAGGCUAAAUACGAGUCUGUGACCGAUAGUGAAGAGUACCGUGAGGGAAAGGUGAAAAGAACGCCUGACGGCGAGUGAAAUAGACCCUGAAACCGUGUGCAUACAAGCGGUCGGAGCCCGGCCCGGAUCUUCGGAUACCGGGGAUGGGUGACGGCGUGCCUUUUGCAUUAUGAUCCGGCGAGUUACUCCUCAUGCGCGAGGUUAAGGGCCUCAGGUCCGGAGCCGAAGCGAAAGCGAGUCUGAACAGGGCGACGAGUGCAUGGGGGUAGACCCGAAACCGAAGCGAUCUAUCCAUGGCCAGGGUGAAGCCGGGGUAACACCUGGUGGAGGCCCGAACCGUUGUGGGUUGAAAACUGCUCGGAUGAGCUGUGGAUAGGGGUGAAAGGCCAAUCAAGCUCGGAGAUAGCUGGUUCUCCCCGAAAUAUAUUUAGGUAUAGCCUCAGGUAAUUGUCUCGAGGAGGUAGAGCACUGGAUGGGCUAGGGGCCUUACCAGGUUACCGAACUCAACCAAACUCCGAAUACCUUUGAGAUUUAUCCUGGGAGUCAGUGAGCGGGCGAUAAUGUGCGGUCGCGAGAGGGAAAGAGCCCAGACCGUCAGCUAAGGCCCCCAAAUCUGUGCUAAGUGAGAAAGGAUGUGGAUGUGCCCAGACAACUAGGAGGUUGGCUUAGAAGCAGCCAUUCCUUUAAAGAGUGCGUAAUAGCUCACUAGUCAAGUGGAUCCGCGCCGAUAAUGGUCGGGACUAAAGCACGGUGCCGAAGCUACGGAUGACGCAAGUCAUGGUAGGGGAGCAUUCCCUGGUCAGCGAAGCGGACUCGGAAGAGCAUCCGUGGAGAGCAGGGAAGAGAGUAUGCCGGAAUGAGUACGCGAUAAACAGGGUGAGAAUCCCUGUCACCGAAAGCCUAAGGGUUCCGGAGCCAGGCUUAUCCGCUCCGGGUUAGUCGGUCCCUAAGCCGAGGCCGAAGGGCGUAGGCGAUGGGAAACAGGUUAAUAUUCCUGUACCGUUCAGGUAGCGUUCGACCAUGAGGGGGGACGCGGGAGUGACAGGACCGUCGGGUGGUGGAAUAUCCGAUGUAAGGUGGUAGGCGUUGAGAGGGGAUAAAAGACCUCUUUAGCCGAGCGCCGAUGCCGAUGGGAAAUAUUCCCUCAAAGGGUCCGUAAUCAUGCCGCCGAGAAAAGCCUCGCAUGGGAGGUGCCUGAGCGACCGUACCGCAAACGGACACACGUAGGCGAGGCGAGUAGCCUAAGGUGCUCGAGUGAUCCGCGGAGAAGGAACUCGGCAAAAUGUCCCCGUAACUUUGGGAGAAGGGGAGCCUGCAUUAGGUGAACCACGGUGCGUGGGGAGCCGACCCAGGCCGCAGAGAAUCGGCCCAAGCGACUGUUUAUUAAAAACACAGGUGUCUGCAAAGUCGGUUAAGACGACGUAUAGGCACUGACGCCUGCCCGGUGCCGGAAGGUUAAAGGGAGGUGUUAGGGGCAACUCGAAGCUCCGAACUGAAGCCCCGGUAAACGGCGGCCGUAACUAUAACGGUCCUAAGGUAGCGAA